GAAAUGCGAUAAGUAAUGUGAAUUGCAGAAUUCAGUGAAUCAUCGAAUCUUUGAACGCACCUUGCGCCCUCUGGUAUUCCGGAGGGCAUGCCUGUUUGAGUGUCAUGAAGACUUCAACCCCUCGGGUUUUGCUCGAGGAUGUUGGACUUGGGUGCUGCCGUGUCUUCGGCUCGCCUCAAAUGUGUCAGUGGUAAUCAGACCUUUGACAGGAGUAAUAAGUUUCUCUUGUCUGUCGGUCGUCGAUGGCUGCUACAAACCCGCCUCUUUGGCAUCUAUGACUCUGACCUCAAAUCAGGUAGGACUACCCGCUGAACUUAA
This 318-nucleotide unclassified non-coding RNA is filed under the name uncultured Tremellomycetes. RNAcentral describes it as "sequence contains ITS1". The stretch from base 1 to 105 matches the Rfam family "5.8S ribosomal RNA", at positions 50 to 154 of the family's 154-position model. Lineage: Eukaryota; Fungi; Basidiomycota; Tremellomycetes. The record is from RNAcentral.